AAGCCACACUCAUGAGCAUGCAUAUAACCCUACACAUCCCAUGGCAACAAAUGUUCAUAACUUCACAUGGUUUGGUCCAGCAAUAGCAUGGUUAGUGCUUUAGAAUAUUGAAACAUACAAAGUAUCCAUUCAGUCUAAACACUAAACAUCGAGACGAGAACUUACCAACAAGAAAAAAGAAGAAUAGAGAAAAAUGAAAUUAAGGCAUCCAUUGAUACCAAAGGAAUAUCGAGAGACUCGACCUAGCCACUUGGAAACUCGAAAUGCAUCCCGCGCUGUACACACGAGAUAGUGAGGCACUGAACACCUCAGCCACUAUGGUAAAUAGUCAGGGUGAAAGGGGGCCCCCUUGGUGGAGCCCUCUCGAAGCAUGAAAGUAACCCUUAGAUGUGCCAUUAAUAAGGUCCGAAAAUUGGGGUUUUGAAAUACCCCCUUGGAUCUAUCUCCACCAUAGAGAGCCAAAUGGAAUUCUGGACAAAGUCUCAUCAAUAAUUUCCCAGUCCACAAGAUCAUAAGAUUUUUUAUUACCAAGCCAGAGAUUUUUGCACUACAACGGGAAUGUAUGCAUUCAUGUGCUAUUAGAGCCCCAUCGAGAAUCUGGCAUUCCUUCACAAAGGUCCGUUGGGAUGAUAAGAUCACCUGACUAAGGACACGUUUAAGGCGGGAAGCCAGGCCCUCAAGAGAAUUUUGUAGGAAGUAUUAAUCAGACUAGUCGAUAUGAUGUCUUUAAGCUCUUCUGCUCUCUCUUUCUUGAGGAUCUUGGUAAUUCAUCGCCUUAUUGAUAGUGGCUCGAGAGUGAAAUUCAGAAAAGAAAGCCAUGAUAUCAAUCCUAAGGGUAUCCCAAAAGACUUCGAAGAGGGCUAUGGGGAAGCUGUCAGGGCUGAGGGUCUGGUCUCCAUUGAGAUCUUUAAUGGCCUGGAGUACUUUGUCCUCUUAAAAAGGGCUUUUCAAAGAGGCUGCAGAUUCGAGAGAUAUAGAAGAGAAGGAGACGUUCGCCAUUUCUGACUUAGGACCAGAAGGGGAAGAGAAAAACUUGGAAAAAUAUUUGACAGCAGCUGCCUCAAUGAGAUUGGGAUGGUCAACAAUCUGGUCCCAUACCUUGAAGUGGGUAAUAGAGUUCUCCCUUCUUCAACAGUUGGCUAUCUUGUGGAAGUAAGCUGUAUGGGAGUCUUUUUGGUAUCAUAAGUUUCCAGGGAGCUGUGAACUCCAUGAUUUCAUGAAAAAUUUGAGCAUUUGAAGUUUUUUCUACAAGAUAAAACCGGCCCACCCAUUCACGAGGGGGGAGAAGGACUCCCAAUGGUUACAGACAAGAGAGGCGAAACCGGGCUCUUAGAGCCAAGACAACUCAAAGCGAAAAGGCUUAGGCCCUCGAGGAAGGGAUUGGGUAUGAAGUGGGCUUGGGAAGCACCAGAGAGUGGGUGCCAAGGAAUUCAUGAUCCCACUCGAGAGGGCUUAGAAAUCUAUCUAAUUUUGAGAGGCUUGGAUUAGUCGAAUGGCUAGACCAACGGAACUCCGCUCCUUCCAACAGGAUGUUUAGAAGACUGUUAUGAGCUAAGACAUCAGAGAACUGUACCAUUGAAGGGGCAGUUUUGUCGCGGGAAUUACGUUCAUGAGACCAUCUGGUGAUAUUAAAAUCACCUCCUACGCACCACUAAGAAAAUGGGAUGGUCAUCAAAGAUUGUAACUCUCUCAAUACGGCUAAUUUCUCGUUGUCUUCUUGUGGCCCAUAAAUCACAAUGCACUUCCAAUAGAGGAAAUCAGUGAUCCUAGCUAGGGUCACUAUGACAGAACUUGCCAAUAUGAGAGGCAACUAAGGCAUGUUGAGAUGGGACUCAGAUACCGCCAGAAGGUCCGAUUGCAUCCAG
This 1865-nucleotide long non-coding RNA is filed under the name Amborella trichopoda. RNAcentral's name for it is "long non-coding RNA (ATRI_LNC000814)". The record is from RNAcentral. Lineage: Eukaryota; Viridiplantae; Streptophyta; Magnoliopsida; Amborellales; Amborellaceae.